Equus asinus (donkey) is the source of this 188-nucleotide small nuclear RNA. Its record names the gene U2. It matches the Rfam family "U2 spliceosomal RNA". From Rfam's summary of the family: U2 is a small nuclear RNA (snRNA) component of the spliceosome (involved in pre-mRNA splicing). NCBI's taxonomy places the organism in Eukaryota, Metazoa, Chordata, Mammalia, Perissodactyla, Equidae. The record is from Ensembl.
AUUGCUUCUUGGCCUUUUGGCUAAGAUCAAGUGUAGUAUCUGUUCUCAUCAGUUCAAUACCUGAUACGUCCUCCAUCUGAGGACAAUAUAUUAAAUGGAUUUUUGGAGCAGGCAGAUGGAAUAGGUGCCUGCUACAUGCACUCACGCAUCGGUGGUAUUGCAGUACCUCCAGGAAUGGCACACCAAAA